RNAcentral lists this long non-coding RNA (1520 nucleotides) under Homo sapiens (human). RNAcentral describes it as "non-protein coding ZRANB2-AS2:49". The record is from RNAcentral. Lineage: Eukaryota; Metazoa; Chordata; Mammalia; Primates; Hominidae.
GGAGCUGGAAAGGUGGAGGCGGAAGUGACUGAUCAAUUCAGGGGCGUGGGGUUCGUUUAGGUUUUGCCCUGUGUAUGACCUCGUUUGGAGCCAUGAAACCAGGUGGCUUUUCUACAAUAUAAAGAUGGAAAUGGGAAGAAGAUGUUCAUUGCAAAUUAAGGAAGCUCUUCCACGAGUUCACGAAUGGAAAUAACAUCAAGAGUUUUUCAUCUUCUUAGUGUGCAAGAUAAAUAUCAAGGAGUGCAAUUCCUGGAUUUAUGAUGUCUGAGGAAUAGUCUUAGUGGAUUAUCCCAAACUUGACACAUUUUUUGCAAAAUGCUAUACAAAAAGAAGAUACAUGCGAUUAUGACAAGAUUCUCCACUUGGUGUGACCAGUCUCAUACAACCCAAGGCUGUGUGUCCAAAGGCAACUGUACUGUGAGUUUCACGUUUCCAAAGUUUUAGAUGACAUGUACAAUCUGAUUAGCCUUUAAAUCUCAUACCCUCUGCAGGUAUUGGAAAAUACAAGGAUGUCAUAAAUAUCUAUAUUUAUAUUUAAAAUGUGCUUAUAUUUAUAUAAAUAUAUAAAUAAAAAUAUGCAAAUAGUUGUCUAUGAAGCUAGCAAUGUGAUUAUAUGCUUUUCUUUUUCCUAGGUAGUCUGGGACUGGAAACAAAUUGGGAACAUUUUUCAUUGCAUAUUUGGCUCAGAUCUGCCACUUAGUUGAAGUAUAAUCUUCAGCAAGUGACUCAAAAUUUCUGAAUCUCGUUUUCACCAUCAAUACAUGACAAUAGUAAUAUUUUCUCCUUUAAGUAUUUGAAAGUGUUGAGAAAGCCACAAUAGCAACACUUGCAAAAGUGCUCCAUUGUAAAAUGCAAAGGAGAGGUAGUUGUGACCCUUUGGGGAAAACUAUAGUUGCCACAAUUGUCUCUGAAAUGAAGCAUGUUUCUUAGACUGAAGGAAAGCCCUGGGAGAGAUUGGUCUAGCUUUAGGAUGACUGUGGGUAGAGCUUCUAGGGAGAAGAAUGAAACGUAUUCCUCUUUUCCUUUUCUCUAGGAAUACCGGAAAGCAUGUAUUUGUUUGCUAAAUUGCUCUCUUUCCACCAGUGAUAUCAAUUCUGAAAUACUUUUGAGUAAGUUUGGAAUUACUAGAAAAACAGUGAAUGUAAAUGUGAAGGUGUAUGAUUCUUGGAAAGUUCAGAGGGAGUACAUUGACGGGUGUUUGGAUCAAAUUCCACUAACUUGAAUGAAUUACCUUGGAAAAUUAUCUCUACAAAUUCUUACUUACAUUUCUGACUGUCAGGUUAAAGUGAAUAAUUAUUUUCUGUAUACCAAGAUAUGAUUUUGAAGCAUCUAUGUUUUGCCCUAUUCUUUUGAGAGGGAAACUAGCUCUGUUUCAUGUGCUGGUUUUCCAUGUCUGAUACUUGAUGUUUCUGUUUCUGUGAUGUAAUUUAUGCAAGAUAGAUAAGAUAGAUGUUGAAAAGGGAAGAAAUAAUGAAGCUGUGGGGGAAAUCAGACAUUUAUUAGAACAUUUCCAGUUUUUU